This 418-nucleotide ribosomal RNA is filed under the name uncultured archaeon. RNAcentral describes it as "bacterial SSU rRNA". It matches the Rfam family "Archaeal small subunit ribosomal RNA", at positions 330 to 748 of the family's 1478-position model. The record is from RNAcentral.
GUGCAGCAGGCGCGAAACCUCCGCAAUGUGAGAAAUCGCGACGGGGGGAUCCCAAGUGCCAUUCUUAACGGGAUGGCUUUUCAUUAGUGUAAAGAGCUUUUGGAAUAAGAGCUGGGCAAGACCGGUGCCAGCCGCCGCGGUAACACCGGCAGCUCUAGUGGUAACAAUUUUUAUUGGGCCUAAAGCGUCCGUAGCCGGUUUAAUAAGUCUCUGGUGAAAUCCUGCAGCUUAACUGUGGGAAUUGCUGGAGAUACUAUUAGACUUGAGACCGGGAGAGGUUAGAGGUACUCCCAGGGUAGAGGUGAAAUUCUGUAAUCCUGGGAGGACCGCCUGUUGCGAAGGCGUCUAACUGGAACGGUUCUGACGGUGAGGGACGAAAGUUAGGGGCGCGAACCGGAUUAGAUACCCGGGUAGUCCC